RNAcentral lists this ribosomal RNA (797 nucleotides) under uncultured bacterium. RNAcentral's name for it is "bacterial SSU rRNA". It matches the Rfam family "Bacterial small subunit ribosomal RNA", at positions 8 to 794 of the family's 1533-position model. The record is from RNAcentral.
AGAGUUUGAUCAUGGCUCAGGAUGAACGCUAGCUACAGGCUUAACACAUGCAAGUCGAGGGGCAGCAUGAUUGAAGCUUGCUUCAAUUGAUGGCGACCGGCGCACGGGUGAGUAACGCGUAUCCAACCUUCCGUUUACUCAGGGAUAGCCUUUCGAAAGAAAGAUUAAUACCUGAUAGUAUGGUAAGAUUGCAUGAUAAUACCAUUAAAGAUUAAUUGGUAAACGAUGGGGAUGCGUUCCAUUAGGUAGUAGGCGGGGUAACGGCCCACCUAGCCUACGAUGGAUAGGGGUUCUGAGAGGAAGGUCCCCCACAUUGGAACUGAGACACGGUCCAAACUCCUACGGGAGGCAGCAGUGAGGAAUAUUGGUCAAUGGACGAAAGUCUGAACCAGCCAAGUAGCGUGAAGGAUGAAGGUUCUAUGGAUUGUAAACUUCUUUUAUACGGGAAUAAAAAAGCCUACGUGUAGGUUCUUGUAUGUACCGUAUGAAUAAGCAUCGGCUAACUCCGUGCCAGCAGCCGCGGUAAUACGGAGGAUGCGAGCGUUAUCCGGAUUUAUUGGGUUUAAAGGGAGCGCAGACGGGUGAUUAAGUCAGCUGUGAAAGUUUGGGGCUCAACCUUAAAAUUGCAGUUGAAACUGGUCGUCUUGAGUGCGGUUGAGGUAGGCGGAAUUCGUGGUGUAGCGGUGAAAUGCUURGAUAUCACGAAGAACUCCGAUUGCGAAGGCAGCUUACUAAGCCGUAACUGACGUUCAUGCUCGAAAGUGUGGGUAUCAAACAGGAUUAGAUACCCUGGUAGU